AGGACGAACGCUGGCGGCGUGCCUAACACAUGCAAGUCGAGCGAUGAAGUCCUUCGGGAACGGAUAGCGGCGGACGGGUGAGUAACACGUGGGUAACCUGCCUCAAAGAGGGGGAUAGCCUCCCGAAAGGGAGAUUAAUACCGCAUAACACUAUUUUCUCGCAUGAGAAGAUAAUCAAAGGAGUAAUCCCGCUUUGAGAUGGACCCGCGGCGCAUUAGCUAGUUGGUGAGGUAACGGCUCACCAAGGCGACGAUGCGUAGCCGACCUGAGAGGGUGAUCGGCCACAUUGGAACUGAGACACGGUCCAGACUCCUACGGGAGGCAGCAGUGGGGAAUAUUGCGCAAUGGGGGAAACCCUGACGCAAGCAACGCCGCGUGAGUGAUGAAGGUCUUCGGAUUGUAAAGCUCUGUCUUUGGGGACGAUAAUGACGGUACCCAAGGAGGAAGCCACGGCUAACUACGUGCCAGCCGCUGC
RNAcentral lists this ribosomal RNA (475 nucleotides) under uncultured bacterium. RNAcentral's name for it is "bacterial SSU rRNA". It matches the Rfam family "Bacterial small subunit ribosomal RNA", at positions 26 to 518 of the family's 1533-position model. The record is from RNAcentral.